Molecule: long non-coding RNA, 867 nt
Filed under: Diabrotica virgifera virgifera (western corn rootworm)
Lineage: Eukaryota; Metazoa; Arthropoda; Insecta; Coleoptera; Chrysomelidae
Description: uncharacterized LOC114325671
Source: RNAcentral
UUUAUUAAAAUAAAGGUGUCCUCUAAUUUUCCUUAAAUGCCUGUAUUUUAUUAAAAGACAAAAAUAAAAGACGCAAUUGGGAUAAACCGUAAUCGUACCCCUUCCUAACUGCCACAGUGUCAUGGCCGCCGUCGGGACCUAUUGUGCUGACAUUUACAAUGUUUACAUAUAGAAAAGUUUGUUUUUUUCUGCUUAUAAUGCCGUUUUCUAAAGAUAUUAGUGAACAAAAUCGAUUUGCUAACAAUAUUUAAUAUAUUUUAAAUGUGCUAAAAUUGGAUUCAACAGCAAAAGUCGCAUAAAUAACAUAUAAAUGACGAAUUUGUUUACCUAUUACAAAUGGGGUUAUGUGGUUGUAACUGUUUAUUUUGGGAAUAAAAUGAAAAUGAUCAAUUAAACGACUGGAAAACUAUAGUGAAGUGAAGAACAUCUUGAAGUUCCAAUGAUGUUUCAAGAUGAGAUAAAUCGAAAUAAUGGUUGUAUGUUAGAAGGACAGAGAAUACGAAGAAAUGUUAUUGCUGCAUACUUAGUGUAGUGAAAUACAAACUUCAAACAUUAUAAUAUAUUUUUUUAUUUCAAACAUUUCAUAUGAUUAUGAAAGAACAUCUUCCUCUUUAAAACAAUGAAGAAGUGAAGAACAUGAUAAAGUUCCAACGAAAAUGAUUCCAGAUGAGGAAAAUCGAAAUAAUGGUUGUAUGUUACGUGUAUAGAGAAUACGAAGAAAUGUUAUUGCUGCAAACUUAGUGUAGUGAAUUAAAAACUUAUUGUCAAAUACAAAUCAAUUUAUUUCAUACUUUUAUAAUAUAUAGUGGUACAAUUUUAUAUGUGUUCAAAUAAAAAUAUUAAUAAAUAAAAUACAAUAAACACAAA